This 73-nucleotide transfer RNA is filed under the name Ipomoea nil (Japanese morning glory). It matches the Rfam family "tRNA". From Rfam's summary of the family: Transfer RNA (tRNA) molecules are approximately 80 nucleotides in length. The record is from Rfam by way of RNAcentral. Lineage: Eukaryota; Viridiplantae; Streptophyta; Magnoliopsida; Solanales; Convolvulaceae.
GACUUCAUGGCCCAAUGGAUAAGGUGCUGGUUUACGAAACUAGAGAUUUUGGGUUCGAUCCUUAGUGAAAUCG